GCCCCCUACGGACGCAGCAGUGGGGAAUAUUGCGCAAUGGGCGAAAGCCUGACGCAGCGACGCCGCGUGAGGGAUGAAGGUCUUCGGAUCGUAAACCUCUGUCAGCAGGGAAGAACGGUCACUGUGCUAAUCAGCAGUGAAUUGACGGUACCUGCAAAGGAAGCACCGGCUAACUCCGUGCCAGCAGCCGCGGUAAUACGGAGGGUGCGAGCGUUAAUCGGAAUUACUGGGCGUAAAGCGCUCGUAGGCGGUAUGUCCAGUCAAGGGUGAAAUCCCCGCGCUCAACGUGGGAACUGCCUUUGAAA
This 305-nucleotide ribosomal RNA is filed under the name uncultured bacterium. RNAcentral describes it as "bacterial SSU rRNA". It matches the Rfam family "Bacterial small subunit ribosomal RNA", at positions 334 to 632 of the family's 1533-position model. The record is from RNAcentral.